GAAUGAAGAACGCAGCGAAAUGCGAUAAGUAAUGUGAAUUGCAGAAUUCAGUGAAUCAUCGAAUCUUUGAACGCACAUUGCGCCCCCUGGUAUUCCGGGGGGCAUGCCUGUCCGAGCGUCAUUACAACCCUCAAGCUCAGCUUGGUGUUGGGCCCCGCCGCCCCGGCGGGCCCUAAAGUCAGUGGCGGUGCCGUCCGGCUCCGAGCGUAGUAAUUCUUCUCGCUCUGGAGGUCCGGUCGUGUGCUCGCCAGCAACCCCCAAUUUUUUUCAGGUUGACCUCGGAUCAGGUAGGGAUACCCGCUGAACUUAAGCAUAUCAAUAAGCGGAGGA
Molecule: unclassified non-coding RNA, 330 nt
Filed under: soil metagenome
Description: partial contains 5.8S ribosomal RNA, internal transcribed spacer 2, and large subunit ribosomal RNA
Rfam family: 5.8S ribosomal RNA (bases 3-121)
Source: RNAcentral